UUCGCAAUGCCCGAAAGGGUGACAAUGCGACGCCGCGUGAGCGAUGAAGGCCUUCGGGUUGUAAAGCUCUGUCAGCUGGGACGAAUAGCAAAGUGUUAAUAACAUUUUUGUCUGACGGUACCAGCAGAGGAAGCCACGGCUAACUCCGUGCCAGCAGCCGCGGUAAUACGGAGGUGGCAAGCGUUGUUCGGAUUUACUGGGUAUAAAGGUCAUGUAGGCGUCCUAUUAAGUCGGGUGUGAAAUCCCUUGGCUCAACCAAGGAACUGCGCCCGAUACUGGAAGGAUUGAGUACGAAAGAGGUAAGCGGAAUUCCGGAAGUAAGGGUGAAAUCUGUAGAUAUCCGGAAGAACACCAUUAGCGAAGGCAGUUUACUGGUUCGAUACUGACGCUGAAAUGAGAAAGCUAGGGGAGCAAACAGGAUUAGAUACCCUGGUAGUCCUAGCCGUAUACGAUGGGCACUAAGUAGAGGGGUUUU
RNAcentral lists this ribosomal RNA (475 nucleotides) under uncultured bacterium. RNAcentral's name for it is "bacterial SSU rRNA". It matches the Rfam family "Bacterial small subunit ribosomal RNA", at positions 365 to 832 of the family's 1533-position model. The record is from RNAcentral.